UAGUUUGAUAUAGCAUCUGUUGUUUUUACACUGUAAGUCACAAUGUUGACUGUUAUGUAUUGGAUUUAGGGAUGGCGUCAGCGAGUGUCAAUUCAACAACAUUGAACUGGAUCAAUCAUUGAGGAGUGCAAGCUCCUUGAUGAGAGUUGGUGCCCAAAAUUUGUCUAUGAUAGUAUCUAUGUUGUGGAAGAUAUAUGCCAUGCAGCGGAAAUUUUGGAGAGAAAGACUGUCCUGCAUUUUGUCUUUUCUGUGAGGGAUAAUUGUGUUGAUUCGGGUUUUAAUUUGUAUCAAACCACCCCCUCCUCUCCUCCUCUGCACCCUAUUCUGAUGUCUUUCUGAAAUCUUUACUUUUGUGUAUAUUUAGAUAUGUUCUUUGCUAUGUUCAGGUUUUCUGUUGCUUUGCAACUUCAGUUUCAUCAACUGGCUAUCUAAUACAAGAUGAGUUCAAUAUA
Molecule: long non-coding RNA, 452 nt
Filed under: Rosa chinensis
Lineage: Eukaryota; Viridiplantae; Streptophyta; Magnoliopsida; Rosales; Rosaceae
Description: sRNA RchiOBHm_Chr7g0230341
Source: RNAcentral